UCUUUGAUUUUUUUCGAGAGGUAUUUAUGGGGUGGUUGCAACGGAUUUGAGGGAAACGUGCGUAUGAUUGUGGGAUUGAGGUGGUUGUAACAGGAUUUGAGGAAAACGUGCGUAUGGGUGCGGAGGUUAUGGGAUCGUGGAUGGUUGAGGAUUGUGGGAUGAUGGGAUUGUAGGUAUAGGUUGUUACGAUAGUAUCGUGGGAUUGUGGGAGAGAUUUUGGAUGGUUAUGAUGGGAUUGUGGGAAUAUUGUGAAUUGGUCCUUUCCCUUUGCUCAUAUUACACCUUAGUCAAUAUAAUAAAAUAUUAUAUGAUUAAAGCGGAGCAUUUUGUAAAUACGUGAAAGGGAAAGGGCUAAUAUGCUAUUUUUAAUACCCGUUCGUAUCUACGAGAACGUCCCACUAUUCGUAAUUUAUGCUCCCGGUGCAUGAGAUAUUUUCAAAAUUUAAAUUUUAUCCAUGCACCUGGUGCAUGGAUAAUCUCAUAAACCAUCUCUAUUUUUUAUUUCUUUCUCUCCCUUUUUUUUUCUUUUUCCUCUUUUAUUCCUCUCUCUUUUUUUUUUAUGCUUCAACAAGGAUAAAUGUGCAUUUCCAUUUCCUUAUGCUUUCCUAGAUGAUAUCAUAGUGUGAGUUGAAUGCUUGAUACAGUGGAUAGAUAAGGAUUGGGUCGAGACAUUGAAUCCUAUAGUGCUGAGAUAAAAGAUGGACUCGAUUGUUGAUAAGACAUAACGAGUGGCAAGUAAAUAACAAUGACAACAAAACGAGUGGCAUAUAACUUAGUGUAAAAAUGACACUUGACAUGUGACUUAGAGAUAGGUGGAUUCCCUAGUGAUGAGUCAUUGAAUAAGAACUUAGUGUAGUUAAACACUUCCAUAUGGACAUUGGGAUAGGUGGAUUCCCGAGUGACAGUUAGCCCUAGUUGAUAGGGUAUCCUCGAGUUAAGAGGAUUGGAUCAUACUCACUGUCUGUUCAGAACUUGUGGUGGUCGCUCCACACAAGCGUGCGCUUCGGAGUUUUGUCACACGAGGGAUAGCCUUAUGGGGUCCCUAGGAUAGCCUUAUGGGGUCCCGCAGACGGUCUCGGGUUUGUUGAGCGAGUUGAGCCUCCUUACCUUACGAGAUGCAUGUGAGUCGUGGGCGAACCUCAGGGUUGGCCAAGGAUUGGAUAAGUCAAGAAAAUUGAUGAACAAGUAGACAAGUAAAUAACAUUACUUCUUGGACAUAGUGGCAUGUUAGUUGAUUACCUAUCACGUUGAGGAUGCAUACAUUGUAUAUGAUCCGGGCACAGUAGCAUAGCUUUCUUACUAUGUUGUUACUGCUUUUACAUAUCUAUCUAUCUAUCUAUCUAAUUGUGCCCAUUUGGACCUAGUGGGGAGAUCGGCGGAGUCAGCGGCCGAACCCACUCGGAACUAUGGACAUUAGUUCUCACCCCACUUUGCUGCAGGGCCAAGUACGAGUGCUCCGGGCAAGGAUCGCGGUAAGGACUUAGCGCCCUAGCAUUAGUAUCCCUCCAGUUGCAUUAGAGGAACCUACUUAUAUGAGAGUAGAUGAUGUAUAGAUUGUGAGAUGCAUUUUGGAGAGAAAUGAAUAAACUUCUACCUAUAUUUUUGGAUGAAACAAAGAUGUAAAUUGUAUAAAUGUACAAAUCAUGAUGUAAUAGAUAGAACUCUCUCUCUUUUCGCACUUGUAUGGAUACUUGUGUUACUUGCUCUUAUUGUGAAGCACUAGUGGUGCUUCUUUUGUCGUUGUGUAACACACUGGACCUGUGCAAAUUGCGAGAUUCGAGUGAUUGGAUGUGUUUCAAGCUUUUUCAUGCCUUGUGGAGGGUCGUAGAAGGCGUUCCGACCUAAAAAGUUCGAAUCCCGGAAUUCCAGCUUUGUCCUGAGAGUUUUUACUCUCGGGGACCGGUCCCUGGUGGGAGAGACCGGUCCCCUUGGAACAGUGUAGCGGCUGACUCCGAGGCAACCGGUCCCUGGCGGGUGAGACCGGUCCCCGGUCGCGUUUUCGCGGGGAGAGACCGGUCCCAUGCGGGGAGAGACCGGUUCCCGAAUGUUGGAUUUUUCGGGGCUGGAGGAGAGACCGGUCCCAGGUCGGGGAAACCGGUCUCUCAGUCCGAAAUCUGCCCAGUCCGGGCUUUGCACUGGUUGCAAAGUUGAGGGGCUUUUCUGGAUUUUGUUACACUAGAGGGCCUAUAUGGCCAUUUCACUUUCUCUUCUCCCUCAUUUCACUCUCCCCUUUGUUUUUAGAGAGAGAAGAAGAAGAAGGGAGAAGAAGGAAUGAGAGGGAGAGCUUGCUUGAGGACUUGGAGCUUCACCUUCACCCUCUCUUUUUCCUUUUGGUGGGUUGGAGCUUGCUUUUGGAGCCUUGUGGUGGACCAAUCUUCAACCCUAGAGGACUUAGAGCUUGCAUUGAAGCUUCCAAGAGGUUGGUAACAAGUUUCUUUCAUUAGAUUCUUGUUUUGAUGGUUUCUUUGAGAUGAAACCCUAAAUUGAGGUUUUAGGGUUGAUUUUGGGCAUUUUGGAUUUAGGGCUUUUGGAGCUCAAUCUCUUGGAUUAGAACCUUUCUCUAGGUUCCUUUGGAAGGGUUCUAGCUUUCUUUUGAAGCUUGAGAAGAGAUUUUACUCUAUAGGUGAGCUUUUGGCCCUUUUGCUUGGUAGGUUAAAGUUUGAGCUAGUAGUUGUUGUUUACUUCUUGUAGCUCACUUUUUGAUGUUCCUAGGGUGCUAGGAGUUUAGUGGACAUCUUCGUUGGAGCAAACGAAGAGUUGCGCGAAGUUCGGUGGGUUUGACCUAGCCUAGCAUAUGAAAAAUUCUCAUAUCCUAUAUUUUAUGCUUCGUAAAGUAGAAAUUCAUGUAUUUCCGUGAUAAAUAUAAUUAUUGUGAAUUUUAGGAUGCUUAACAUGCCUAUGUUAUGUGUGAUGAAAUUUUGGACCUCUAUGUAGUAGAAAACUAGCAUGUGGAAUUUGUACAUGAUUGGCAUCCUAUUGAGACUUGAAAUCAUAAUUCCUACUGUGAAAAUUAGCAUUACUUUCAUGUAUUUAAAGCUAUUCCUACAUGAGACUUAAAAGAUCUUAGUAUGCCAUAAAGAGGCUCGGGGACUUGUACUUCUUGAGAAUAAUUGGGCUAAUGUCAUUAAGCGGCAUUAAGCUCGGGUCAUGUAUGAACCUAGUGUUGAGGUCAUCAGUGGAAUAUUGAAUAGGUGGGAAGAUUAAUCUAUAGCAAUGCUUAAGUAUCAUAAAUAGGCACUAAGCAUAGUGAGAGUUGGAACUUCACAUUGUGACAUUGAACUAGAUCUUCGAGAUGCUAGUGGCUUUUACCAUGUUAGAGACAUGAUGAUUUGGACUUUUGAGACGUUGACUACGCUUGUAUGCCAUUUGUGCUCAUUCGCAUAUACUUAUGAGGGUCGCUCCCUACAAGCCGGCACUCCGGAGUUGGCCUACGCGACUUAUGCUCGCUCGUGCGGUAUCGAGAAACCUACGGGGUCGGGAGGGAUAGACUCAUUCUUAGAGUGGGAAUGCUGGAGCUACCACCGACACUUAGGCGGCACAAGCUGGACUACAUUUAUGUAGGUCCUAGAACAUGAUUAAAUAAUGACAUUUAAUCAUGAGAUAACAAUCACUACUAGAUAGGAUUAGUAGUUGGAUUACUUUGACAUGCUUAUAGCAUAGUGUUGAGACAUGUUGUAUACUUAAUAAUUUGCAUGUUGCAUCUUAGUAUACUUGGUUGCCAUGAUAGAGCAUAAUCAUCAAAUAUUGAUAGAACGGAUCAUGUUAUCUACUUGCUUGCCACGUUGGGACUGGUGGCUCACACUAGGUGCUCAGGAGCCGAUAGUGGUAUAUAGCUCGGUAGAGCGUGUCGUGCGGUUAAUAAUAUACCGAGAGUACGAUUGUGACCCAACCCGGGAAUCUGUAAUGGAUUUGGAUCUUAGUUGCUCCUGAUUGGAGUGUGUGCGAAUUCCUAAGUGAGAAUUUCGCCCGAUCAUGAUUGGGUCUGCAUUUGCGAGCAAGAGACGCUGCGUAUUGAGACAGGUUUAGGCGGUAGGCCCACGUAGGAUUGGUGGCCUUUGGUCCACCUGUGGAGACCAAAGAGGGCGAUUUGGCUGAUAGCCUUAUUGAGGAGUUUGACUCGAGUUCACGAACGAAACGCUCGCGUGAACUCGUCGCGAAAGUAGUUUGAUGUUAAUCGUAGCUUGUGGUAUCAGAUAAUGAAAUACUCCUUGUGAGACAUCGAACUGGUGGAAAGCCACGUGAUGUUGGAGACUAUGCUCGUAAGCGAACUAAGACUUGAAAUGUGCCGAAUUGGGCCAUCUCACGUUAAGGUUAAGGGUCAGUGCAAAAUUAAAGCACUCGCGACAGAGCGAUGUAUCGGUGAUAUUGCUUUUAAGCAAUGUCGGUGAUCGAAUUGGGAGGUAUUCCCUAAAGGGAAGGCCAGUGCAAAGAAGAGUUCUUUGCGUACCGAAGAGCGAGUGGUGUUUGGAGCGCGUAGAGUCGUUGAGUACUGACUUGCGCUGCCACUAUGACUUGCAAGACCGUGAUGCACUUCUGCAUCACACUUUGCAAAUGAGUUUAAUAUUAAAUCCAUGUCCUUUAGAAUGAGCCGCUUCUGAAACCACGAUAGUGUGAAGUCGCUCUGGAGUGGGAGAAUGAGUAUGUACCCUCAAUUGCUCGCGGAGCUGAAUUGAGGCGUGGUUUGAAUUUCGCGGACGAAAUUCUUUUAAGGGGUGGAGAAUGUAACAUACCAGAUUUUGGUAUAAAAAUAAAAAUAAAUAAAAAUAGUGUGAGAUACUAUUUUUAUUGGAUUUAGAGGAGUUAAAUAUAAGUCAGAAGUGACUUGUGCUGAAAUCGGAAUGAAAAUAGAAGAUUUAUAAUUUUCUGUUGGAAACGGGACAGAUAAAUUAGCAGAUAAUGCACAGUGUCAGAAAAUUAUGAAAACUGGAGGGUAAGUCAGAAUUAUUUUUAUGAGACUAGAUUUAAAGUUUAAUAUCAUUCUGACAUCCGGAAGGUGGGAAAUAAAAUCCGACAACUAUCUGCUAAAGAUUACAGUUCAGUGCAGUUUUCAGUGACCAAACGGGGUCGAAACUGAAAACUUAAGAUAUAUUCUUACUCAGUACGUUAAACCGAGCCUGCCUGUCAAAUUUGAGCCCAAACGGACAUUCAGAAGGGCUCCGACUGUUCCAAACUACUAAACUGCCUGGAGUGAAUAGUAUUUUGGGGUGUUAAUUAUAUAAGAAGACUUGUCUUCUUCUUCUCCUUCAGCCGACUACCCCACACCACCAUCACCCGCACGCAUAGAGAGGGGAGAGAGAAACCCUCCUUUCUCUCUCUAGAUUCCUCUCUCAUCUCUCUAUAUUUAUCGCUCAAAUUCGCGGCGUUGGUGGAGAAGAUGCUCGCGAACGCAUUGGGAGCGACGGAUCGAGCUUUCGUGCGCCCGUUGUCGCGGCGUGUUUUCAUCGCGGCGUUCACAAUGUGGUAAGCUUUUGGGAUUUGGCUUAAUCCUUCACAUUAAGUGUUCUAAUAGCCUCUAAUGAGAUUUAUUAGCAUGUUGCUACAUUUAAUUUGAGUUAUUUGGAGGUUAAUUCAUGUUAGGCUUGGAAAAUAGAGUUUUAUAAAAUGUAGGGGUUUGAUCUAAUUUGACCCUUUGUAAACCUAAUUGCUAGGUAAACGAACGCGUUUGCGAAGUCGGUUCGGCGAUUCGUCGAGCCGUUGCGAAGUUAUUAAAGAAACGGACGUUAGGCUUCGUAUCCGCCUGCAGGGCCGAGGCGAUAUCGUAAACUCAUGAAAAUGGAUUUGAAGCACCGUGGCACAUAAUCGAAGACCUUUAAUUUUUUGGAUUGUGGAUUGGAGGCCGUUCGGGUGGUCGCGCGAGGGAUCGGGCCAAACCGGGUGCUGGGUGCUGCGGGAGGCCGAUUGCAAGUACGACAAGCAAUCGGAAUGCGAAAUGACGUGGGUUGUGCUUACCGAAGCGACUAGGUCGCCUUCAUGCCAAAGUAUAGUGUGUUUCACUAUUGAUGCAUGGUGGUAGUAAAAAUGCUAAGUAAGAAUGCAUGAUAAAGAUGCUAAGAAAUGUAUGCAUGUGAUAGAUGUUAAUUGUAAAUGCGUAGAAAGUAUGCUAAGUGAAUAUAAGGGCUAAAAGAAUGCAUAUUGACAUAAUAUAAGAAUGCUAAGUAAAUGCAUGUGAAGUAUGCUAAUGAAUGCAAGAGCUAAAUGCUAAAUGAGUAUGUAAGACAUAUGUUAGAUAAAUGCAUGAGUUAAAUGCCAAGUAAUAUGAGCUAGAUGCAUAUUUUAGAAAUGGAUGCAUGAUUGAAAUGCUAAUAAAGAAUGCAUGAGAUAUGUGUUAAGUAAGAAUGCAUGAAUUGUAAGCUAAAGUGUAAAUCGAUGAUCAUUAGAGAAGAACAUAAGUAUGUCCAUGAGAUGCUAAAGAAUAUAUGCAUGAUUCAUAUUAUGAGAAUAUAUUAGAAUGACAUGAAGGUUGAACUUGAGUCAAUGAACUCUAAGUAAAGUAAGGAACUCAAUAAAUGUGGCAUGUAAAGAAUCCUAAGUAUAAAGAACUAGAAUGAUGAGUGGCAUGUCAAGUACAAUUCCUAGGUGUGGACAACUAGGAAAACAAGAAUUGAGUGGCAUUGAACCCAGUGUCAUUGAACAUAGGUUAUUCACGAGUGGCAUGUCAAGUAUAAUUCCUAGGUGUGGACAACUAGGAAAACAAGAACAUGAGUGGCAUUGAACCUAGAGUCAAAUAAACCUAGGUUGUGAACAUAGUGACAUGGAAUCUAGAGUCAAAUGAACCUAGGUGGUAAAGAAUAUUGGACCUAGUGUUAAUGAACCUAGGCUAAAAAGAUAAUGACGUUGAACCUAAUGUAUAAACUUAGGUUGAGUAAGGGCUUGGACCUAGAUAGGUCGAUACUAUAGAGUGAGACCAACCCUUGAGAGAUGUAAAGUGGAUUCCAGAAUCCCUGCUGCUAGUGCAGCGGUUGCUAGUACAGCAUACAAGCUCGAUAGUUCUUGGCCGCAGGUGCAUGUGGCAUAUUCCUCUCCCACCGGAAGAACUUCGAGGCUUGUUAUUGAGCAAGAAUCAUGAGCGCUAGGGUGCAUGUGGCAUGUUCCUCUCACUAUCGGGGAUCUUGGCUGCGGGUGUCUGCGGCAUGUUCCUCUCCCACCGGGGGAUCCCUCACCACGGGUGUACGCAGCUCUGGGCGACCCGUUGGGCGAUGUGGUUUGUGGAUUGAGGGCUGAGGUGCAUGUGAUAGUUCCUUCACCUCGAGCCUGACAGAGCGCGGAUUAUCCGUAUAUAAUUGACUCAAGACCGAGUCGAGUGGCAUAGUUGGCUAAGGUAAAGUAAUCUUAGGUAAGAGUGGCAAUGUGUAUAAUAUGGCUAAGGUGUGAGUACCCUUAGAAUAAAGAAUAAAGAAUAAAGAAUGGCUAAUGCUAAAGAUUGGCAAGUAAUAAAGAAUAGCAAAUGCUAAAGAAUAGCUAGUAAAGUAAAGAAUGGCUAAGAGUAAAGAAUGGAUAAGAAUAAAGUGUAGAAGCAAUUAAUCUACUUAUAUGAGUUGCAUGAUUUACAUAUUGCAUGUUGUGAGGCAAAAGUAUGGUAAUGUUAGUUGCAUGAUUUAGAUUUUAUGUCUAUCUAUUGGACUAACAUGUUGUUUGCCUCCUUUGGACCUGAUGGUCGAGCUCUUCCCUUUAGUGGCCGUACCACUGGGAACCAUGGAGUUGGUUCUCACCCCACGUUGUUUUGGGGUGUUACAGGUUCACACAUGAGCGGUGCGGCGGCGCGAGGCGAGGGCGUAGCAUCAUAGUUAGCGCCCUACCACCGAGACCAGAGAUAGUGGUACCCCAAGUCGGCUACUUAGGGAUGUAAAGAAUGAAAAGAAUCAAGUUGUAAUAAUCAUGUUAAAUCGGAUUAUAUUUAGAAGUUAAGUGAAAGCUAAUGUAAGAAUCAAAUGAGAAUUGUGAUGUAAAAAUGUAUGAAUGUGAAUGCAUGUAAUAACAUAGGAUGUGUUAUAUUGUUUGAUACCUUCCAUUAUGCAAUCUUGAUUGAAAUAUGUUCCUGGUUGGAACUUCGCACAUUGUAUUGAUUGCUAUGCCUUGAACGUACAGGGGAGAUUCUGUCCGUAGUACAGGAAAAACCCUGUCCGUUCGGCAGUCUGUUGACGUGCCCGAAUCCGACCAAAGAGGCGGGCUCGGGGCGUGACAGGUUACCACCUUGCUUUCACAAUCGAAGGUUACAUAAUACUUCAAGAGUCAAUCCAUACCUAAUAUUAGGUCAAACCCUAUUUACACUGGACAAGCAGCGUAUAUAUCUGUAAUACAAAAUGCAUGUUCGGGAGCAUGGACCCGCCUAGCAUGCAUACCUUCUACAACAUCUAUGCCAUGUACAUUUGCAAAUGAUUGACUAAUAAACAAGUGCGAUGCACCCGUGUCAAAUGAAGCUCUACAUCUCAUUCUAUUUAACUGCACAAUACCUGUACGACGUCGUCGACCACGGCAAGUUUCUCCACUUAAGCUGCGAACACACGACCACUAGGUGCUAAUCGGGAUCCCUCAAACUGAUGUGGCAUCAUGGUGCGCCCAACCGAUGCGGCGACGGGCGAAACUCCCCAAACUGCAUAGAGGCUGACUGAACCGAAGCAGAUGACGGGACAGGUGAUGGUCCUCUCGGGCACUCACGACUCAUGUAUCCAGCCUGACCACACCUAUAACACCUCCGCUCAUACUGCCUACAUGUCUGUGGUCAAUGCUCUCCGCCACAAAUAACACACUACAAGGAUCCAUGGCUCCUCGACAUUGUCCACGGGUACCUAGGGGGCCUCUUAGAACUUGACUGCCUCCCCGACACCACUCAUUUUUUGCUUCCUUCCUUUUUUCUUUUCAAACGACUCACGCUCCUCUCAUGCAAUCGCAUUCCCUUGCUCUACCAUAGAGCCAAGUCCAAAAUCUCGACAAAAGUUUGAAGCUUGAAAGAGUGCACAACUCUGAAAAUCUCAGGACGAAGUCCUCGCUGAACCACGCCCAAGACACAGUUCACUAUGUACGAGAACUCCCGCUCAUACUCACUCACUGAGCAACUCCCUUGUUUCAACUCUCAAAAGUCCUCAUUCAGCUUCCUCUAUACACUACUAGGGAAGUACUUGGUGAACAACAACCCUCGAAACUCUUCCCAUGUGACUGGAGGAAGGUCUAGGGAUCGAUUCUUCUUCGCUCCCCUCUACCACACUCUAGCCGACAUUUCAUUGCCACGUGCACCUUGCCCUGCUCUAAAGUAUAUAUAUGUCCUCGAACAGGGUCUCCAUUGAAGCGAUCCACGCCUCCACAACCCAAGGAUCUACUACCUCCCAAUCAAAAGUAGAAUGGUUGAACCUCGUGAAGGUCGUGAGAUCUGCAUGUACUCGCUCCUUCUCAACCUUCACCGUCGCUAGAUCGGGGCCCGAAGAGCCAAAAUCCAUUGGAAGAGUGCUCGUCGGAAUGUGGGGCACCGUCACUGGCAUAGCUGUCACAUUCGCUCCCUCAGCAGCAUUGGGAACGUGUAUCGAAGGCGCAGGCGGUUCACAACUACCUUGUGCCGUCGUUGCCGCCUGUUGCGACACCAACUCCCGAAGCUUCCUAAUCUGCUUUUCCUAUCGCUGAGAGGCUUCGGCCUGCUACUGUAAGGCCUCGGCCUGCCUUUGCACCACCCCGAUUAGUGCAGUCACUUGAUCACGUAUGUCCUGGACUUCACGGACUCGGACAACUCAGGCACCUCAGAAGGCGAUGCCGGAGUAGAUCUCUCCGCAGGACUUUUCCUCAGCAGCAUUAACUCCUACAAUGCGACAAUCAGAUUAGCCACUUUGAUUCACAAAUUCCACGCAACUCAAUAACUUAACCAAACAAAACCAAAUUAGGUGAAAGUAUACAAGAGUACUUCUUCCCAUCCCUAAGUGUUAUGUUGUCGGCCACCAACAUAACCUACUCGAGUUGAGAAUAAAUAACACCUUGAGUCGGUCUCCAACUACCAUUAGAAACAUAUUAACCACUAGACCCAAUUAACUUAACUUUUGCCACUAAUCAUUGAUUGCCGUCACUCACGUACCUAGGUCCUUAUAGUCAUCAUCCUAAAGUUUCCUAGGUCCUUCCUAGAUUACUAUAUGCUCUGAUACCACUCUAAUCUGUCACGCCCCGAGACCGCCACUUUGGUCAGUUCAAGUACACACACAGAUCACCAAACGGAAAGAACUUUCCUUGUCCGCCCAAGGCUUAAACAACAUCAUAUACAUCAAGUUUUGCCUUGGAAAAACAACAACAUACAUGAAUUGCACGAGGGCAAUUAUACAAAAGCGAGAGAAUAAUUACUUAACUAUUACAACUAAAACAUUUAAGCUUCACAUACAUCAAUCCAAAAUACAUCAUUUCCAUACAUAUUACACACAUGCAUAUAUAAAGACAAACAUUUUUAUCUUCCAAAGUGAAGCCUCUACAAGAUCUCUCGUAAUAUAUAAAAACACCUCUCUAAUAUAUAGGGUGAUCUAAUACACGGGAGUCCACUAUCUAGGGCGCUAUGCCCUUAGCGCGAUCAUCGACCGCACUGCUCGUGCUAGGCUUUGCAAAACAAGGGGGUGAGAAUUAAAAGAAGUUUCCAGUUGGUUUGGCUACCGACCUCGCCGACUUUCCCACUAGGUCUAAUCAGGCACAAGUUGUAAGAAAGAAGAAACAAUAAUAUGCAACUGAUGCAACUACUAUGCCUCUACAAUAUGAAACUGGGUAAACAAUAAAUGCCACUAUGCUUAUGAUGCUUACCAAUUUGACCUUUCAACUCAAUCAUACCGGCUCACCCGAAGGUUGAGCCCACUCACAUACCGAGGCCCACGGGGAGAUAGUCGCUUAACCAAUUUAGGGCAAUCUGUGUUAGAAAUUAAUCGGCACAUCAGAAAAACGCAGCGGAAAAUAAUUUUGCACUUUUAAAAUUUUUUGAAAGCUAAAUACACAUCACAUAUGAAAACCGAAAACCAGUAAAUCAAACCGUUGCCAGCGGAUCAUUCUCAUGUUACUAUGCAAAAAAUUUAAUCUAAAUGAAAACUCUUUAUGUUUAGAGAUCUUACCGUGGACCAGUUAAGGUCUCAUGAUCUACUGUAUGAUUGAAACUGAAUAUGACGAACAGAGGUUCCAAUUAGCCAUGCACAUGCCCGGCCUCUACGCGUAUAUAUCCACAUGGAAUCGGCGCAUAUUCGAUCGAUGUUCAUCUCACGAACAGGAUGAGUCACAGACCAUCUGGAUGGCGCUAGAAAUUCUUUCAUGAUCCACCAGUCGAUAAAGAGUAGAGAAGUUGAUCGGAAAGAACCACGCGCGCGGAAGAGAGAUUGGAGAGAUCAAUCUCUAGAUGUAUAUAUAUACAUCAAAAGCCAUUAUACAUCUAAUUAAUUAAGGUGCUUGGCACCUUAAUUAGUAUACCAUCAAUCUGUACGGCACAUAGUGUCAGUACCUUUUUUUUUUUUUUAAUCUAACUUAUUGUAUACACCUCUGUACAUAUAUAUAUGUCUAUAUAUCUAUAUAUACAGAAUCUAGCUAAUUUCACUAAAAUCUUAUCUAAUAAGAUUUUGUCUCUCUCCAAUAAAAUUUAACGAUUAAAUAUGCAUUCUUAUCUAACUAACUCAAAUCUAGUAAAAAAGCUUAUCUCAUAAGAUAUUAUGAAUAUUUAAUUUAAUUAUUCUCUAAUCCAAUUAGAGAUAAAAUUAAUCUCUCCAAUAUNGCUAGGUGGUCCACCUCUCGAUUUAUGUUUUAUUUUGCGAGAGGUCGAGCGUUUUACCAGUGUACUAGAGACCACCAUUUUUGUAUAUUUGAGACUGAUAUUGUACUUCUUAUGACUCCUCUUACUGUCUAGCUUUACUUCUUUACCUUGGUGUAGAUGAUAAACUAUAUUUGCUCUGAUAUCAUUAGUUGCUAGUUAUUUUCAUUUCUUCUACUUGUUCUAUUACUUGCUUUUACUUCCGCUUUUAUUGUAGACGCCUUAUAUGUGUUGACAUAUGGCGGGUCUGGGCACGCUACCGGGAGGGCCUCCGCCGGUCCCGGGGCGUGACACAAACGAUUCGGGUGUACACAAUUCCUAAUGUGUGUGACCGCAUAGGUUUAUUACCAUUCGGCAGUGAAACUCAACAUCAAACUCUUAAAUAUUUAAUUAGAACUCUUCCAAUAGAUAAAUAAGAACAAUUCAAUUCGAAUCAUUAAUAUUCUCUCACCGUCCAUCAAUGACACCUAGCAGUAUAUUUCGACAAUUCACAAUGGUGAUGAAGAAUGAAUCUUUCCGCUUACAGUUAUUAUGUGAUUAAUUCCUUCCAACAUACAACAUCUUAAUCGAACUAAGGUCAUAGUUACUCGUCAAAUCUUAUCAUUCGACCAUAUGAUUAGAAUAUCUGAAAUCAACUCAAUAUAGUAACACAGUUAGAAACAAUUUUCAUAUACCCUGUACCAUGGCCAGGGAUUUUGGAAGUCAAGUGCGAUAGACUGUAUAGGACAUUCUCCCUCGUCAUUGAGAGUGUUGGACAGCCAAUCAGUACAGCCAAUCACAUGCCUCCUUAUUGCGCAUUCAUAUGCCUCCUCGCAUAAAUCACUACAGCCAAUUAGUACCGAAUAUAGGCCCAUAUCUAGAGUCUAAGUAUUAGUACUGCCAAACGAUAGCAACCUAUACGUGAAACAACUAUGAUGCCUCAGAUCCGAGGAGUACUUCACACAGCUGUAGCAAUGAACUUGUCAUUGGCGAGUAUAGAACUAUGUGACUGUUCAACUAAAUAGUCACACUCAGUAUACUUUUUCUCUAACAAGCAUCUGUAUGCUUGUUCUAGUAUCCCUACAGUACUAGUGACUUGAGAUUUGCCACCUCAAUUAGAAACAUAGCAUACACCGGCCUAUCCGGAAUAUCACCGUCCCUGUAAUAUUGCUCCGCCUAUGAGCAUUUAAGAGUCACGUACAGAAAAAUACAUAUCUCAAAUUUCUAACUCUUAGGAAUAUGUCUUUUCAAACAAAGACUCUAUGGACGAUUUAUGUCAAUAUUUCACUGCUAUACAAUAGACAUGAAUAGAAUAUCUGUUCUCAUAUUAUGAAUUACAAAUAAAUAAAACAUAAAUACCCUUAAGCUAGUGUCACCAGAUUGGUUUUUGGGCCUAUAACUAAUAAUCUGCUGGGAAGAUAAUCGCUCAAUCCAUACGUGACAACUCCGGAGCUCACCGCUUGUGGUGUCGCAACCACCAACAAGCCGAACAGACUAUGUGUGAGUACGAUCCAAUCCUCUCAUCACGAAUAUAUCCUACUAAUUAGGGCAACAACACCCGGCGAUCUACCAAUUCCUAGCAACUAACUCAACAAAGUGCUAUCAAACACAACUAGACAUGAGAUGCCACUAAGUUUACGUCACCAAUGCCUCACAAUGUUUUAUAAGUUCACAUUCGAGUUCUUUGCAUUUAUAGGGUUCUCAAUGUCCAACAAUCCAAUCCUCAUGCGUCCAAGUACCGAGUUCUCAAUACAAUUUGACCAUCCGUACUCUAGGAAACAUGAAAGAAAAUUGAAAGCUCAAACACCAUAUUAACCCUAAAUGCAUAGAAUUUCACAUAUAUACACAUAUGACCAAAAUGAGGACAUAAAUAUAGAAAGAAAUCCAACUAUUCCGGAUAGCACCACCGAUCUCGAUUCAAUACCAAUUGAAGAAAAAUCCGAGCAAUUUAGCUUUGGACACUGACUCAGCACUUUUCAGCGCUAACGAAUGAAAUCCCUCGUUUUCGACUCAAUUUUUCUCAAUCGACCGCCGAAAAGUCGCUACUCUUCGAAUCGAAGCUACUAGGCGUUUUUUUACAACCUUCAAUUAAUGAAUUGCUAGAUCAAUUUAGAUCAAAAUCCUACAAAUCCAAAAGAUCCUUUUGAAUUCCGAAAAUCCCAUUUUUUUCGUCAGUAAAAUAAACAACGGUGUUCACAUUCCUUUGUAUAGUUGGUCUUCCAACGUUGAUUAGCUGGUCUUUGCAGGAGUCAAGUCAACGUUGGAAGGACCAUUAAUUAAUUACGUCUUGUCUUGUUGAUGCAUAUAUCCAGUAGUGAGCACUGGUAAACGUCACAAACAUGAGCGCGCUCGUGCUGCUCCAAUCCCUGUCAUCGUCCGAAAAUAAGUGGAACCAAGAACCAAGCGCCACCACAACCAUAAUAAUGCUGCUCGCCUUUAACGUCCUUAUUGCCUUUUAUCCCUUUUCUUAUGUGCGCAGUGCGUACUACUAUUAUUACCUGGGUAAUAUUCUUAUCCUUCUGGUCCCUCCCAUUCUUUACAAGUCUGCCCACGAUAAGGACGACUUGCACGUUAGGAUUAAUAAAGUUGCAAUUAACCGUAAAUUAAGUUUACCAAAAAUUUUAAUUUUGUCAUUUAUUAUAAAAAUGUCUUUAAAAAAUCUGGUAGAAGCUGUGAGAUUAAAUUUUUUAAAAAAUAUCUUUUUCGGUAAAAUGAUUCAGAGUCGUGUUUUGUUGAAGGAUUCAAAAUCUAGCCCAAAUCUGUCCCCUGAGUUUCUUCGGUACUGUACUAGCUGAUGAUAAGACCAUUAUUAUUACUUGCAAGAAAUUUGGUCUUCAACUAAACUAAAAUUACGUAAAUUCGAAUGUCCUUACGCCCCUUAGAAUACAUGAUAUGUUGAAAUUUACCGACGCAAGCUGGAUUUCGAAAGUUAAAACCAAAAUCAACCUAGCUAACAGAGCCGAAAAGUUAAUCGGUUUAUUUUCAGUCUAUUUUGUUUGUUUGAAUAAAUUAAAUAUGUUCUCAGAGAUAGGUUUUCACAAUUAUUGAUUUAACUAGCUUUAGUUGAUUUAGUUUGUUACCUAGAAUUUUGGGAAUAAUCUGAAGUAUUAAGUGAUUGCUUAGAACUAAGGCCCGCUGGGAUGCACAGUUAUUAAAUUUCAUAAAUUUUAUAUCAUGUGGUUUUGGUCCAAAUAAAAUAAAAAUUUUUAUAACUCUAAAAAAUUUUACGGCUUCAUUUUUCUUAACUAUUUGGACAAUUCCACUAAAUAUCUUCCGUUAAAAUUAAAAAUUUAAAAUUAAAUUUUAGAUUUUAAAAUAAAAAAUUUCAAAAGUUGAAAUUUAAAAUUUUGAAUUUUAUAUAGUUUAAAUGAUUUAAAUCAUAUUCAACAGUAUCAAUCGUCGAUUUAGAAGCUAUAACAUUGAAAAUAAAUCAAUAAAUAAACCGAGCCGUUUACUACCUAUAGCAGCCCAGCAAAACUAUAUGUGAGUCAGGUUACUGUACUCUUAUGAGUACGAUCGCCUACUCAUAAGUCGUUUUCGAUGUUAGAGCUUCCGAAUUGACGAUCCAUAUUGUUAAACAUUAUUUAGAGUAUUUAAAAUUUUUAGAAAUCAAAUUUCGUAAUUUUUCAACAUCACUUAUCUUACGAUUAAAAAAUCUUAAAAUUAACAAAUUUUAACGGCCAAUAUGAAAUACUUGCUAAUUUAACAAUGUAAAAGAAUUGAAAUUAGUUGAUUUUUGAUAGAAAAUUAUAUUCACUAUGUAAAUAAUGAUCAAUAACUCCGAUUACAAAUUGAAGAAUCCGAUCAUCUAUUUUUAAGAGGUCACUCAAUUUUGAUCAUUCAUUUUAUCGCCGCUUGAUGGACUUUAAUAUAAUUUUGAAAAAUUACGAAAUUUAUUUUCUAGAAGUUUCAGAUUCUCUAUAUCAUAUUUGAUGGCAUAGAUGUAAGGAUAGAGAUUUUGACAGUGUAGCUAAACUCUCUGUUGACGAUAUUUUUGUGUGUAUUUUAAUUACAAAAACAAUCGUCAAGUUUCGGGACAAAACGAAUUAGAAUGGAGAUUUUACGCAAUAUUUACUUUUCACUUAAAGUGAAUAGUAACCUGGGUUUUUGGAGAGACCAAUAAGUAGAGUUGGUUUCCAGUGAGUAUCGGACUCCGUUCAUAAUGAUCCAAUAGCUUGUUUUCAACGAUUCGUCUAUCCCAAAUCCAAUAGCCUUGACAGAUUUCAAGUUUGACGCACGACUUUCGAGAAAAAGAGAGUUUAUUGGAUUUACACAUAUAUAUGUGUGGUUUUUGGAAAAAUUGAGAGGGGAUGGGUUUUGUCGCAAAUCGACGAUCAUAUCGGGCGAAAUAAAAUCGUGAGUUCGAUGCCUCGGUCGUGCUGAACGCGUUGGCGUAGUCCGUUCGCAUAUCUGACAGACAGAUCUACCGAAAAUUCAAAAUAUUAGCAAAGAGGUCAAAAGUGGCAAAACGAAAAAGUCGCAAACUCCUUAUAUUUUAUUCACCGUUUUGCGUGAUUUCGUUUAUCGAGGUGCAUAUGCGCGAAAUACAUUCGUUGUGAGGGACUUGGUUGGAAAUAAUCAUCUAUGGAGGACUAACACUACAACAGAAUUAGGUUAUAGGGACACAUGUUUGGGACACUUUUGAGUAAGUGUCCUAUUUAUGCUAAAACUUAAAAACACAUCUACUAAUGUCUAAAUAUAAAGCCCAAUCCAACCAAAAAUAAAAGAUUACUCUACUCAACCCACCACACCCAGUCCAUUUGGCCCGGUUACAAACAGAAAAGAAAAAAAAAAAAAAAAAAUCAAUUACCAUCUUUUCUUCUCUGUUUACUCAAUCCACUGAAAUUCUAGACGAAGAGCCUUUACUGUCGUCCUCCUCCGCCACCGUAGCCAACAAGAUAGAGUUUCGGCGGUUGCUAAAUGCUUAAAUAAGUGUUGGUAAAUUAGCAGCACUCUUUUAGGUUAUAGCGACACUCUUUAACUGUCACUAUAUACCUAGCGACCCCACAUAUAGCAACACUUUUUAAAAGUGUCGGUAAUUUUAGCUAGCAGCACUUUUUUGACAUGUACCUACAUUUAAAAGUGUCGCUAUAGACCGUUUUUGUUGUAGUGAAACUGGAAUUUGGCCAAUAUAUAAGUAUUGGGCAUCUAGGGUUUCAUGCAUGAAACCCUAACCCUAGCUGCCUUAGUUCCUCAGCUGCACCCCAGCCAUCACCAACACCCCUCUUUGACCUUGCUGCGCGCACCCCGGCCGCCGACGAGCUCCUUCGACCGCCGAAGAAGUGCUACAUUGCCUUUCUCCACCAUCUCCUCCACCAUCUCUACCGUGGACCACCCAGGAGUGAGCUACACCCUCGGGCCCCCUCCUCUGGCCGCAUCCUUGGCCUCCAGCUACUCCCCCGCUGGUCCCCGCCGUCCCUGCGCGCCGCUGUCGCUGCCUGGGCGCCCUGCGGCCGAGCUGAGGUUAGCUCGGGCCGAGCUAAGUUUAGCUCGCGGCCUGCAAGCCGCCGCCGCCUGGGACCUGCCACGCCAUCGUCCAUCAACAGCCGGCAACUCUGCCCGCCGGCCCCCGCCAGCCCUGCGUGCCGCCGCCGCAGCUUCUGGCAGCUUAAAGUCGCCCCAGACCAACUAGGGUCGAGCUGGGGUCAUCCUUGUCCCCGCGUGCCGCCGCCGCCUGGGGCCAGCCGCGCCGCCUCCCUCCGGCCUCCGGCGACCCAUCGCCGUCGUCCCGUAACUCCUCGACCGCCGCCGGUGGUGCCAUGGCCCCCUAUUGCCCGAUAAACUUCACUAUGUUGUUUCAUGUUGUCACGCCCCGAGACCCGCUACCAAUUUGGUCCGAUUCGGGCGCGUCGAACAGACGCCGAACGAACAAGACCUCCCCUAUCCGCCCAAGGCUAAACAAUGAGAUCAUGUACAACAAGUUCUCAGGAAAUCACUUGAAUACAUACACGAUCAUACAACAACAGCGAGAGCAUAACCAGUGCUAAACAACCAAAAGCAAGCGUCACAAGUAGAGUAUAUACAAGUGAAUAAAAGAGAGAUACUUAUCUAUUACAAACAUUCAACUUUAAUACAUCUGAUUACAUUUAACUUCCAAAACAUAUCAUAAGGUUUACAAUCUUCCCACAUAUCUCACACCUAUACAACAUCUACUCUUACGUACCUACAAGGUAGCUCUAAUGCACAUAGGAAGCAUCUACUAACCCUCUAGGGCGCUAAGCCCUUACCGCGAUCCUCGCCGGGGGUACUCGAGCUCGGUCCUGCAACAAAGUGGGGUGAGAACUACGAAUAGUUCCCAGUGGGUUCGGCCGCCGACUCCGCCGAUCUCCCCACUAGGUCUAAGCAGGCAUAGAUAGAUAAACAGAUAGAUAGAUAACUUAAAAGCGAUAACAAUAAGGAGAUAUGAAAGUAUUCUACCAUGCCUCAAUCCAUAAUCACGCAUGCAACAUAAGUAAAGGCUAACUACCAAGCUAUCAUGCUCAAUAAUGAUAUAAUUCAUUAGAUUACCCAAUCAAUCGGCUAACACGAAGGUUCGCCACCAUCUCACGUCUCAAAGUCUCAUAGGGGAGGAGAUUUUAAUCACUCGCUACCCCCGAGACCGCCUGUAGACAGCUAGCUACUGUCCGGGCAGCUCACGACUGCCCCUCUAGUAACCAAAACUCCGGAGUGCACAGCUUGUGUGGAGUGACCACUACAAGCGCAGACAGGCUAUGUGAGUCGAUCCAAUCCUCGUCAACUGAGGACACCCUACCAAUUAGGGUUAUCAUCAUUAUGGAAUCAAUGUGUUCCUAUACUCGACAUCCUAGUGUUUCAACUACACUAAAGUUCUCAUAUGCCACUCAUUCAUGUGUUCAACAUUGACUAGAUGCCACUCAUUCUCGUUACAUGUUUCCAAUACACUAGUUUACACUUUACUAGGUUUCCAUCCACAUAAGCACAUUCAUCAUUUAUCAUCUCAUUAUAGGGUUUCGCAUCACCAUGUCCCGAUCUCAUGCAUACUAGGUUCAAGUGCCAAGCCAAUAACACUAUACUACACUAGCAUGCAUGAAUAUGUAAUAACAACUAAGUACCCUAUAAUGCAUCAUGCUCAAUAUGCAAAUAUAGUGAACAACAAUAAACAUAGACAUUGGGAGCAGUUCAACUGCUUCGGGAUGGUCACCACCUAUCUAUUGGCGACGCUACAACUCAAGGAACGGAACUCGGCAAUCUUUUAGAACAUCGCUUCGGCUCUCCAAGUAGGAACGAAGGCUACAACCAUCCCUUUUGCCAAGAACUUCACACCAACUCGACGAAUCGUCAAACCGACUUCACCAAUGCGUUUAAAUACCUAACAAUUAGGUUUACAACCAAUCAAACGAGAUCAAAACUCUAGAUUUUCCAAAAUCCCAUUUUGGAGCCCUAGGUUUCAACAAAUGGAAAAUACUCCAUUCAAACCCUAUAUACAUGCAAUUAGGAUGCCACUAGCAUCAUAGGGUUUAACCAAAACCAAUUCUAGAGUAUUUAAACCUAACCCUAGAAAUCCACCAUUAGUAGGGUUUGGAGCCUACCUCUCAAGCUUGCUCCCAAACUAGAGGAAGAAGAUGAAGAAGAUUAUGCUCUCCUCCUUAACCUUCUUCUCCUUCUACUCCUUCUCCUUUCACCUUAAAGAGAGAAAGAGAGCUAGAGCUUAGAGAGAGAGAGGGAAGCUAUUAGGUUUUAGGUUGAGAGAAAUGAGAGGAGAAUGGCUCUCUACCCUCAUAUAGCUCUCACUUAUGCAACAAUUGUAUAAAAACCCCUCAACUUUGCAAGUAUGUGACAUUUUUGGGCAUUUCGGGCUACGGGGACCGAUCCCUCUAAGGGAGGACCGGUCCCCGAGAGCAAUUCUUCCCGGGUUGAGCUUCAGCUCAACCCUUGCACGCGUACGGGGACCGGUCCCUCUUAAGGAGGACCGGUCCCCGAGAGCAACUUGGGCAGGUUGAGCAUCAGCUCAAUCCCCACAUGCUUACGGGAACCGGUCCCCUCCCAGAGGGACCGUGUCGCGCCCCGGGACCGAUACCAAUUUGGGCCGGUCCGAGCACGUCGAAUAGACGCCGAACGGACAGAGUUUCCCCUAUCCGCCCAAGGCUCAUCACCUGUACAUUUUCAAGUAGAGAAAAGCACUAGCGAAAAUAUACAUAAACGGCUUACACGAGGGUAAGCAAUAGCCGUGAAUGAAAGAAAGGAAACUAAACAUCUACACAAGUACUAUGAUUCUCUUUUGAUUACAUACAUUGCAUUUAACCUCAUAUUCACGAUUCUUUACAUUGCUUGCAUCAUUUCUUUUACAUCACAUUUGCCCAAAAUAAACAUUACAUUCUUUUUCUCAUUUGCUUUAUACAUAAUCAUCUUAAAUCAUCGAAUACAAAAGAUGAUAAAAGGGUAAACUACUAACAAAAUGUAAAGCCCGACUCGAGUAGCCACUGUCUAGAGUGCGAUACCUUUACCGCGGUCGCUCGCCGGCUCGCUCGGUCCCGGCUUUGUGGAAUAGUGGGGUGAGAACUACAACAAAGUUUUCAGUGGGUUCGGCUCAAAUCUCACUGACUUUCCCACUAGGAUUAACUCAGGCAUAAUAGAAAGGAUAAGCAGAAUAGUAACCAAACUAUAAUCAUGAUGCUAAUAUGCCUGAACAAUAAAGCAAGAAAUAUGCUUAACAUAAAUCAUACAAGUAUGCAAGUUCUUUGUUCUUUGCUCUUUAUUCUUUAAUCCUUGUUCUUUGUUCUUUAAUCUCACGGCUAACCCGGGGGUUUCGCCACAUUAACUUGCCUACAUUAAGUCCAUCAUCGCAGGCCCUCAGCUUCCUCCCACUAAGACCGUCCUCGAGUUUACUCCAACCCGUGAUGCAAAACUCCGGAGCGCAUCACUCGAGGGGGAGCGACCGCCCUCGAGCACAGAACUCAUAGCAAGUAUGAUCGAUCCUUAACUCUAAAGAUAUAUAGUUCAAUCAUUGUCUUUACACUAACUCUAAUGUUCUUUACAUCACUUUAUUUUGCUAACUCUAGCAAUCAUUGUUCUUUAACUUUACUCGCUCUUUAUGCCACUUUCAUUUUGUUUCUUGUCUCUAAUCAUUAUCAUUGUUCUUUGCGUCACAUUUCUCUUUGAUGCCACGCACAUUGACUCUAGUGUCACUUUACUUUACAUUAUCGAAUGUCACUCGAUCUAUAUUUUAUUGUGUCACUCUGUUCUUUCAUCUCAUUGGGUGCUCACAUUAUAUCUCAUGCAUACAUAUAGGGUUGAAUAGGUUCUCAAACAUUUCAAAUAGCACGUGUACUCACAUCAUGCAACACUCACAUAUACAACAUCACAUCUACUCUAUAAUGCAUGCAACAAUAUAAACAUAUACUCAAUUGAAUGACACAUUAGGCAUAGAAGGAAUUCCAACAAGUUUGGAUAGCACCACCCACCUCGUAGGCGUACUAGGAUGCUACGGUGAUUUUCUUGAAAUUUUUAGCCUCUUAGUUUGCUACCUGCGGCAAAACGAAGCCCUAUUAGGCUAUUUUGCUUAUAUCUUUAUAUUGGUUUUUCGUAACGUUAAUCCAAGCGCACCAACGCGUCGGAAAUAUUCCCAAUUAGGUUUCUAGAGGGUCAAUUUCAUUUUAAAAGCUUUACAAGCAAAAACUCCAAAUUUGGGUGCCCUAGCUCAACCCAUAUCAAAACCUAGGGUUUGAUCUCAUUAGGAAGCAAAAGAAGCUUCAAUCUACUCUAGAGACUCCAUUAAAACCAUUCUUAGCUCAAUCCAAACCCUAGUUUGGAUUCUACCAUGAGAUGGAUGAAGCUCACCUCUAAGCUUCAUCACACACACCCAAACCAUGGUUUUGAUCUCUUAAGGAAGCAAAAGAUAGCUUCAAACACUCUAGAGACUCCAUUAAAACCAUUCCUAGGUUAAUCAAAUCCCUAAUUUGGGUUCUACCAUGAAUAGGGUUCAAGCUUACCUCUGAGCUUGCUCCUAUAUUGCUCCAAAGAGGAAGAAGAGGAGGUAGCUUCACUCCUUGGCUUCUUCACCUUCUACUCCUCCUUCUUCUUCUCUUCACUUUCUUUCCUUUCCUUUCUCUUUUCUUUCUUCUUCUCCUUCUUAUCUUCUAGAGAGAGAAAGAGAGGAGAGAGAGUGUGAGAGGGAGAGAAUGAGAGGAACAAAGCCCUCAUAGCCCUCUACAUAACCCAUAUAAUGCAUAAUUGCAAAUAAGCCCCUCAACUUUUAUUUUAUUAAACUGCCCAAACUGGGCAAAUUUCGUGUAUGGGGACCGGUCUCCCCAACCAGGGACCGGUUCCUGUAGCUCCUCCCUGCGGGCAGCCAGGGCUCCCGUGCAAUGCGAUCGGUCUCUCCUUGGGGGACCGGUCUCUCGGGGACCGGUCUCUCCAACAGGGACCGGUUCCCGAGAGCCUGAUCUCAGGGACUUAGCCAACUUUUUUCUUUU
RNAcentral lists this long non-coding RNA (22152 nucleotides) under Ananas comosus (pineapple). RNAcentral's name for it is "long non-coding RNA (ACOM_LNC005599)". Lineage: Eukaryota; Viridiplantae; Streptophyta; Magnoliopsida; Poales; Bromeliaceae. The record is from RNAcentral.